This 508-nucleotide ribosomal RNA is filed under the name Stictonectes samai. Its description in RNAcentral is "partial 16S ribosomal RNA". It matches the Rfam family "Bacterial large subunit ribosomal RNA", at positions 1830 to 2597 of the family's 2925-position model. The record is from RNAcentral. Lineage: Eukaryota; Metazoa; Arthropoda; Insecta; Coleoptera; Dytiscidae.
GUCCUUUAGAUUUUAAUUAAAGGUCUAACCUGCCCACUGAAAAAGUUUAAAUGGCCGCAGUAAAUUGACUGUGCAAAGGUAGCAUAAUCAAUAGUUUUUUAAUUAAAAGCUUGUAUGAAUGGUUGGACGAGAUAAAAUCUGUCUUUAAUUAAAAAGUAGAAUUUAAUUUUUAAGUUAAAAAGCUUAAAUUUUAUUAAAAGACGAGAAGACCCUAUAGAUCUUUAUAAUAAAUUAUUUAUUUUUAUUGGGGAUUAUUUAGUUAUUUUAUUUGAUUUAUUAUUUUAUUGGGGUAAUAUUAAGAUUGAAUUAAUUCUUUUUUGAAAAAACAUUUAUUUUUGAUUAAUUGAUCCACUAUUAGUGAUUAUAAGAUUAAGUUACCUUAGGGAUAACAGCGUAAUUUUUUUAGAGAGUUCUUAUCGAUAAAAAAGUUUGCGACCUCGAUGUUGGAUUAAAAGUUAUUCUAGGUGUAGUAGUUUAGAGAUUUGGUCUGUUCGACCAUUAAAUUUUU